GGCGGGACCAGCAUUUAGAAAGUUUCUUUCACUCUUUGACUGAAUAUUGGUUGAAAGGAGUGCAGCUGAAACUGUAACCAAAGGAGGCAUUAUGCCUCCAGGAAAAUCUCAGGGAGAAGUAUCACAAGCAGCAGUGGUAGCUGUUGGAUCAGGCUCUAAAGGAAAGGGUAGAGAGAUUCGACCAAUUAGCGUGGAAGUUGGAGACAAAUUUCUUCUCCCAGAAUAUAGAGGCACCAAAGUAGUUCUAGGUGACAGGAUUAUUUCUUAUUUAGAGAUGGUGACAUUCUUGGAAAGAAUGCAGACAGAAAUA
This 310-nucleotide long non-coding RNA is filed under the name Homo sapiens (human). RNAcentral describes it as "non-protein coding lnc-UHRF1BP1-2:1". The record is from RNAcentral. Lineage: Eukaryota; Metazoa; Chordata; Mammalia; Primates; Hominidae.